AUUGAACGCUGGCGGCAUGCCUUACACAUGCAAGUCGAACGGUAACGGGCCUUCGGGUGCCGACGAGUGGCGAACGGGUGAGUAAUACAUCGGAACGUGCCCGAUCGUGGGGGAUAACGAGGCGAAAGCUUUGCUAAUACCGCAUACGAUCUACGGAUGAAAGCAGGGGACCGCAAGGCCUUGCGCGGACGGAGCGGCCGAUGGCAGAUGAGGUAGUUGGUGGGAUAACAGCUUACCAAGCCGACGAUCUGUAGCUGGUCUGAGAGGAUGAUCAGCCACACUGGGACUGAGACACGGCCCAGACUCCUACGGGAGGCAGCAGUGGGGAAUUUUGGACAAUGGGCGCAAGCCUGAUCCAGCCAUGCCGCGUGCAGGAUGAAGGCCUUCGGGUUGUAAACUGCUUUUGUACGGAACGAAAAGCCUUCUUUUAAUACAGGAGGGUCAUGACGGUACCGUAAGAAUAAGCACCGGCUAACUACGUG
Molecule: ribosomal RNA, 482 nt
Filed under: uncultured bacterium
Lineage: Bacteria
Description: partial 16S ribosomal RNA
Rfam family: Bacterial small subunit ribosomal RNA
Source: RNAcentral